UUAUUGGAGUUUUUAAACUCCACAAGCAUAGUUAAUAAGUUGACA
Molecule: non-coding RNA, 45 nt
Organism: Gossypium raimondii (Peruvian cotton)
Lineage: Eukaryota; Viridiplantae; Streptophyta; Magnoliopsida; Malvales; Malvaceae
Source: Rfam